CUUAAAGAAUAGAAAAUAUAAUGACAACCUACUCAAUAGGAAAAUCCAAAGAAGCAAUGUGGAUUGUAACCUAGAAAUCUCUUCUUUGUCAUUUAGUUUGUUGUUGGUUCUUCACUAUCUCUCCACGCCGUCGACUCCCUCAACAAUGGCCAAGAGAACCAAGAAGGUCGAGAUUGUUCGGAAAUACGAUGAGUUAUGAUGUGAUGAUGUUUAAGGAUGUCAUAUUGCAUAACAUAAUGCCAUUUGAUUGGAAUAGAGUCUGUGACAUGAGUGAAGAAAACAAGAAAUCAUAUAUGACAUUCUUGAUUAUUAUGCAUUAGAUAACAACUUCAUAUUGAAAGGUGUAGGAUAAUGAGAAGUUAGUUCAAAACUUUCAUGUUUAAUUGUUUCUGUUUGAUUAUUUUGAAUUAGGAGUGAGUUAUGGUCUUACCUUUGUUGUCUGGUCUGGCUGAGUGGAUGAAAUGUAUUAUCACGAUUAAUUAGUAUCAUUAUAUUGUUUUGUUUAGGUACCCGGUAUGGUGUCAGUCUGCGUAAGAAGAUUAAGAAGAUGGAGGUGAGUCAACACAACGAGUAAUUUUGUGAGUUAUGCGGAAAGGAUUAAUAACAUCGAAUUUGAGGAGGUUAAAAUUGAUCUGGCCAAGCGUCAACAUUUAUCUCAAGAAUUUGCAGGAGGAGUGAAGUGCAUACGUAGCCCUGCUAAUUUGGUGGACAUUCAUAGAAUAGGAGUGAAGAUUGAUCAGAUUCAAAGGAGUGUGCAAGAAGCGGCCGGGGUUUUGAAUGAUCUUGAAACUGCUGGAAAUGUCAGUGAGGAAGAGCAUAGUUGUUCUAAUAUCAGAUUUAGAUUGUGGAUGCUGAGGAGUUUGACGAACAUUUUUAUGCAAAGUGAGGAAUACAAUGCCUGAAUUUCACCAUAGCUCGAAAUUGCAAUCGCAAGAAAAUUAUUUGAUGAAUUUUCGAUGAAUUAAUGUAUAAUGGAAGCUACUGAUCUCUCAACCGUUGAUGAUAUUAUCGACUCCCGACUCUCGACGACAGGUUCAACAUUGUGCUUGCAGUUUUUGUCAUCAGAUUUUGUAAUGUUGUAAUUUGGUAUGCGGGUUUGUGAUGUGAUUGUGAAGUAUGAUUGUAUUAGGUUAUUUGAAUAUAUUAAUUUCUCUCUCUUAGUCCAAUAUAAAUCAAUGAUGAACUGAAAUCUUCCAAUAUUAAUAUAUCUUUGCACGCA
Spinacia oleracea (spinach) is the source of this 1219-nucleotide RNA transcript. RefSeq lists it as uncharacterized. The record is from RefSeq and is a predicted model, not a curated record. Lineage: Eukaryota; Viridiplantae; Streptophyta; Magnoliopsida; Caryophyllales; Amaranthaceae. The transcript has 5 exons.